Molecule: small nuclear RNA, 136 nt
Organism: Oryctolagus cuniculus (rabbit)
Lineage: Eukaryota; Metazoa; Chordata; Mammalia; Lagomorpha; Leporidae
Gene: U2
Rfam family: U2 spliceosomal RNA
About the family: U2 is a small nuclear RNA (snRNA) component of the spliceosome (involved in pre-mRNA splicing). Complementary binding between U2 snRNA (in an area lying towards the 5' end but 3' to hairpin I) and the branchpoint sequence (BPS) of the intron results the bulging out of an unpaired adenosine, on the BPS, which initiates a nucleophilic attack at the intronic 5' splice site, thus starting the first of two transesterification reactions that mediate splicing.
Source: Ensembl
AUCACUUCUCGGCCUUUUGGCUAAGAUCAAGUGUAAAUGUUCUUGAAAUCUAUGGCUUUUUCAUAAUAGUUUCCCCACAUAUUAUGGAAAAAUUGUCUAAAGAAACAUUUAUCUAUUACUUAAAGGCAGGGCAACA